AAUUAGCAACACUCUUUUGGUUUGGAUCUCGGAUCCCCUAUUUCAUCAUCAUCACUUUGUGAUGUAGGUCAGAAUGUAGGACAGAAUAUGGGAAAAAAAAUUCUUAUGUAAGGCUUAUGUAUAAUUUUUGAGCCUUGGGUGUUUGUGACAUUUGAAGGAACAGCAGAAGCCUCUGGUGGUUGGGGAUGUGAGAUUUUCAGACGUUUCCUGCUAAACUGGUGUUGUGAGUGACUUGCUUUGUGCUGCCAUCUGCUGGGCGAUUAGACGAAAUACUUCAAAAAGGAAAUUGUGGCCGAACAUCCACAGCAGCUUUCCUUGUUUACCUCACAGUGGGAGAACAGCUUUAAGCACACACUGCCUUUGUGGAAGUAUCAAACACAGACUACUGAUGUGCCGUUGCUCACUGUUUCAGUCAUCAGUGUGCCCACAGGGACUUCAUUUCUCAGAAUUCACCUUACCAAGAACCCACUGUACCAUGUGGCCUUUGUGAUAAAAGAGGUCGAGGUCAUUCUUUUUUAUUCAAACACUCUUGUUUACCGUGGUAUGAGUAAAUAUUUAAGUAGUUGUCUGAUCAUGUGCCUAAAAUUAUUAUUGCUCCCUAUACUAACCCUAAACCUUAAAUAUGGAUCUUUGCUGGUGCUGCAGACAUUAAAGGAUUAGUUCAAUUUUAAAUGAAAAUCACCCCAAGCUUUACUCACCCUCAAGCCAUCAGGUGUAUUUGACUUUCUUCUUUCUGAUGAACACAACUGGAGUUAUAUUAAUGAAUAUCCUGACGCAUCCAAGCUUUAUAAUGGCAGUGAACAGGACCAACAAGUAUGAAGCUCAAGAAAGUGCAUCCAUCCAUUAUAAACAUACUCCACACGGCUCCGGGGGGUUAAUAAAGUCCUUCUGAAGCGAAGCGAUGUGUUUGUGUAAGAAAAAUAUCCAUAUUUAACAAGUUAUAAAGUAAAAUAUCUAGCUUUCACCAGACAGCCUUCCGUAUUAAACUUACGAAGAAAGUGUAAAACUCUUGCAGUUCAAAACGCUUAUGCUACGUCCUACGCCAUCCGUAUUCAACUUACACUUCUAAAAGGCGGUCUAAAAAUAUGCUUUUUAUUUUAAGACAGGAUCCCUCAGAAGUGAAUCAUUAUGUUUGCUGGACCUUAGUAUUAAAAAGUUCGGAAACCCCUGAUCUAGUCUUAAUUCUAAAUAAAAGAUGUGAUAUGAAUGGAGAGGUAAUGGUCUGUAAUCUCCUCCACCAUGCAACGUUAUCAUAAAAGUUGUAAAACUUGUUCUGUCUCUUUUGGACUGUCCUAGCUAGAUUAGUUUCUCAGAAAGGAAGAACAGGGCUGUCUCUUUUUGGACAAGUUAGUCCUUGAAGAUUAUGGGUGGGGAGCAUGGGUUAUUUGUUGUGGGAGAAGCCAAUAAACAGAAAAACAACACAGAUGAUGUGAGGAAGGAAGACCUCUGUCUGUUUCAAGGAUUCGAGAGGUCUGGUUUCAUAAAAAGGGUCGAGGGAUUCUGGGUAUUUCAAAGUGUUCUGUGCUAGCUUUGUUUUUAAAUGGAAGCAUACAACAAAUCAGGGCCAAGUAACCAAGGAGAUAAUCCAUAAGCAAGUGAAUGCGUAAACACGGCAGUGAGAGACAGACAGCCUCUCCCUGCUGAUUUACUGCCCUAUCCUUUAUAUAGCUGUAAGGGAGAAGCUUUAUUGCUUAUUUCUUCUUGUUUAAAUGCCAGCUGUUUAAUAUACACCUAUAUACAGAAAUAAGUGUAUGAACAUUAAUAGUUUGUUAUUUUUAAGAUUUAUUUUUAAAGUGGCAACAUGCUUAUUAUCAGAUAUUGCAUUUGACUGCAUGACAAACUUUUAGCAAUUUGUGGUAAGUUUAAUGAAGAACUUAAAAAUAUUGUUAUUUAUACUUUAAAAAAAUAGUUUCCAAAUGGUGGUUUUUGCAGCAAUGCCAUAGAAGAACCAUUUUGGGAUCCCCAAAGAACCUUUCAGUGAAAAGAACCUUUUUUUUUUUUUUUUUCCUAUGUGUGAAGAAUAUUUUAAUAAUCUAAUGGAUCUUUUUACAUUUUUUUAAAGAACCUUUUGUGCAUUGGAAAGGUUCCCUGGAUAUUAAAGUUUCUACCACAUAUUGUAUGCCAAUAAAGAACCUUGUUCCACAUGCCAUAAUAGGGUUCUGUCAGGCACUUCAUAU
This is a long non-coding RNA of Ctenopharyngodon idella (grass carp), 2177 nucleotides long. RefSeq lists it as uncharacterized. NCBI's taxonomy places the organism in Eukaryota, Metazoa, Chordata, Actinopteri, Cypriniformes, Xenocyprididae. The record is from RefSeq and is a predicted model, not a curated record. The transcript has 3 exons.